UUAAAAUGUUAAAAUUUAAACUAAAGUAGUAGUAGUUAUGUUCUUUAAAUUUAAAGAUUUUGGCGGUAUUUUAGUCUAUUCAGAGGAACCUGUUCUGUAAUUGAUAGUCCACGAUUAACUUUACUUAAAUUUAAAAGUUUGUAUAUCGUUGUUUAUAGAAAAUUUUUUAAGAAAAAUAAUUUUUAAUAAAUUUAAUUAAAUUAUAAAUCAAAUCAAGGUGCAGUUUAUAUUUAAGUAGAAAUGGGUUACAAUAAAAUUAUUUAAACGAAUUUAAAUUUUAACAUGUUUAAUGAAGGAGGAUUUGAUAGUAAUUUUAUUAAUUUUAAUAAAAUGAUUAUAGCUCUAGAAUAUGU
This 353-nucleotide ribosomal RNA is filed under the name Dineutus proximus. Its description in RNAcentral is "partial 12S ribosomal RNA". The record is from RNAcentral. Lineage: Eukaryota; Metazoa; Arthropoda; Insecta; Coleoptera; Gyrinidae.